RNAcentral lists this ribosomal RNA (253 nucleotides) under uncultured bacterium. RNAcentral describes it as "partial 16S ribosomal RNA". It matches the Rfam family "Bacterial small subunit ribosomal RNA", at positions 524 to 776 of the family's 1533-position model. The record is from RNAcentral.
UACAGGGGGUGCAAACGUUGCUCGGAAUUACUGGGCGUAAAGGGCUCGUAGGCGGCCAACUAAGUCAGACGUGAAAUCCCUCGGCUUAACCGGGGAACUGCGUCUGAUACUGGAUGGCUUGAAUCCGGGAGAGGGAUGCGGAAUUCCAGGUGUAGCGGUGAAAUGCGUAGAUAUCUGGAGGAACACCGGUGGCGAAGGCGGCAUCCUGGACCGGCAUUGACGCUGAGGAGCGAAAGCCAGGGGAGCAAACGGG